AUCAGUACGACGUGGCUAUAACAAGUGUUCAAAAUCCAGACAAGAGAUUGCGUGAAAAAAAACGUUGUUCAAAGGAUACAGGGUCUGACUCAAGAAUGGGAAAAUCCUUAACAAGAAAGAAACCGAUGAAGACACAACAGAAGGCGCCAUGGGGCGCUGUGUUGUAUUUUAAAUAGUUAAAUCUGUUAUCAAUUUCUAUUCUGACUUGUAAUGUUAAAAAAGGUAGAGAAAAUGAACUCCUGUUUCUCUGAAUUAUCUAGGCUCACGUUGAUAAAUUACACAGAUUUGAGUCACUGCAAUUAAAAUUGUUUUCCCAAUGCCUCCUUCAA
Oncorhynchus gorbuscha (pink salmon) is the source of this 329-nucleotide long non-coding RNA. RefSeq lists it as uncharacterized. The record is from RefSeq and is a predicted model, not a curated record. NCBI's taxonomy places the organism in Eukaryota, Metazoa, Chordata, Actinopteri, Salmoniformes, Salmonidae. The transcript is spliced from 2 exons.